RNAcentral lists this ribosomal RNA (498 nucleotides) under uncultured bacterium. RNAcentral's name for it is "partial 16S ribosomal RNA". It matches the Rfam family "Bacterial small subunit ribosomal RNA", at positions 30 to 523 of the family's 1533-position model. The record is from RNAcentral.
AUUGAACGCUGGCGGCAUGCCUUACACAUGCAAGUCGAACGGUAACAGGUCUUCGGAUGCUGACGAGUGGCGAACGGGUGAGUAAUACAUCGGAACGUGCCUAGUAGUGGGGGAUAACUACUCGAAAGAGUGGCUAAUACCGCAUGAGAUCUACGGAUGAAAGCAGGGGAUCGCAAGACCUUGUGCUACUAGAGCGGCCGGUGGCAGAUUAGGUAGUUGGUGGGAUAAAAGCUUACCAAGCCGACGAUCUGUAGCUGGUCUGAGAGGACGAUCAGCCACACUGGGACUAAGACACAGCCCAGACUCCUACGGGAGGCAGCAGUGGGGAAUUUUGGACAAUGAGCGAAAGCCUGAUCCAGCAAUGCCGCGUGCAGGAUGAAGGCCUUCGGGUUGUAAACUGCUUUUGUACGGAACGAAAAGCCCCGGGUUAAUACCCUGGGGUCAUGACGGUACCGUAAGAAUAAGCACCGGCUAACUACGUGCCAGCAGCCGCAGUAA